AUUGAACGCUGGCGGCAUGCCUUACACAUGCAAGUCGAACGGCAGCACGGGAGCAAUCCUGGUGGCGAGUGGCGAACGGGUGAGUAAUACAUCGGAACGUGCCCAGUAGUGGGGGAUAACCCGGCGAAAGCCGGACUAAUACCGCAUACGACCUACGGGUGAAAGCGGGGGAUCGCAAGACCUCGCGCUAUCGGAGCGGCCGAUGUCAGAUUAGCUAGUUGGUGGGGAAAAGCCCACCAAGGCGACGAUCUGUAGCUGGUCUGAGAGGACGACCAGCCACACUGGGACUGAGACACGGCCAGACUCCUACGGGAGCAGCAGUGGGGAAUUUUGGACAAUGGGCGCAAGCCUGAUCCAGCCAUGCCGCGUGCGGGAAGAAGGCCU
This 384-nucleotide ribosomal RNA is filed under the name uncultured bacterium. RNAcentral describes it as "bacterial SSU rRNA". It matches the Rfam family "Bacterial small subunit ribosomal RNA", at positions 29 to 417 of the family's 1533-position model. The record is from RNAcentral.